CCUACGGGAGGCAGCAGUGAGGAAUAUUGGUCAAUGGCCGGAAGGCUGAACCAGCCAAGCCGCGUGAAGGACGAAGGUGCCAAGCAUUGUAAACUUCUUUUGUCAAGGGACAAAAUCAGGCUCGAGAGCCUGACCGAGGGUACUUGAAGAAAAAGCAUCGGCUAACUCCGUGCCAGCAGCCGCGGUAAUACGGAGGAUGCGAGCGUUAUCCGGAUUUAUUGGGUUUAAAGGGUGCGUAGGCGGGCGGUUAAGUCAGCGGUAAAAGCCCGGGGCUCAACCCCGGCGAGCCGUUGAAACUGGGUGUCUAGAGAUGUCGAGAGGUAUGCGGAAUGCGCAGUGUAGCGGUGAAAUGCUUAGAUAUUGCGCAGAACUCCGAUUGCGAAGGCAGCAUACCGGCGGCGAUCUGACGCUGAGGCACGAAAGCGUGGGUAUCGAACAGGAUUAGAUACCCCAGUAGUC
Molecule: ribosomal RNA, 459 nt
Filed under: uncultured bacterium
Lineage: Bacteria
Description: partial 16S ribosomal RNA
Rfam family: Bacterial small subunit ribosomal RNA
Source: RNAcentral